RNAcentral lists this ribosomal RNA (496 nucleotides) under uncultured bacterium. RNAcentral describes it as "SSU rRNA". It matches the Rfam family "Bacterial small subunit ribosomal RNA", at positions 26 to 518 of the family's 1533-position model. The record is from RNAcentral.
AGAAUCAACGCUGGCGGCGUGCCUAACACAUGCAAGUCGAACGAGAAAGCUUGGUAGCAAUACUGAGUGAGUAAAGUGGCGUACGGGUGAGUAACACGUGGAUAACCUACCUCCGAAUGGGGAAUAACCCUGGGAAACCGGGGCUAAUACCGCAUAACAUCUUAGUACUUCGGUAUCGGGAUUGAAACCUGGAAACGGGGUUUGGAGAGGGGUCCGCGGCUGAUUAGCUAGUUGGUGAGGUAAUGGCCCACCAAGGCUUUGAUCGGUAGCCGGCCUGAGAGGGCGGACGGCCACACUGGAACUGAAACACGGUCCAGACUCCUACGGGAGGCAGCAGUGGGAAUUUUGCGCAAUGGGGGAAACCCUGACGCAGCAACGCCGCGUGGAUGAUGAAGCCCCUUGGGGUGUAAAAUCCUUUCGGCAGGGACGAAACCCGAGCAAUCGGGCGGACGGUACCUGAAGAAGAAGCCCCGGCUAACUCCGCGCCAGCAGCCGC